Molecule: ribosomal RNA, 148 nt
Filed under: uncultured archaeon
Lineage: Archaea
Description: partial 16S ribosomal RNA
Rfam family: Archaeal small subunit ribosomal RNA
Source: RNAcentral
UACGGGGAGCAGCAGGCGCGAAAACUUUACACUGUGCGAAAGCGUGAUAAGGGUAUUCUCAGUGCUUACACUUAGGUGUAGGCUUUUGCCAAGGGUAAAUUCCUUGGUGAAUAAGUGGUGGGUAAGACUGGUGCCAGCAGCGCGGUAA